This 73-nucleotide transfer RNA is filed under the name Camelus bactrianus (Bactrian camel). It matches the Rfam family "tRNA". From Rfam's summary of the family: Transfer RNA (tRNA) molecules are approximately 80 nucleotides in length. Their secondary structure includes four short double-helical elements and three loops (D, anti-codon, and T loops). Lineage: Eukaryota; Metazoa; Chordata; Mammalia; Artiodactyla; Camelidae. The record is from Rfam by way of RNAcentral. RNAcentral also lists the same sequence under 2 other names.
GAGGAUAUAGCUCAAGUGGUAGAGCACAUGCUUAGUAUGCACCAGGUCCUGGGUUCAAUCCCCAGUACCUCCU